CUUUGGGUCACACUGGUGGAUGAGGACUGGAGACGGAGGCCAGCCACAUGGACUGAUUGUGCCUGCAGAAGGGAGCAUCCGGAAAACUCUGGACAUUGAAGCUCAGGGCCUCAGGCUGGGGAUGAAGCCUUUGAAACAUGGGCCUUUAGGUGGCACUUACCCAAACCGUAACAACUAGUUGGACUUAUGCCACAGGGUCUGAAGUUUGGAAGUAUCCCACGUUUUGGGAGGAAGAUGGAGGGACAAUACUCUGGUUGGUUCCUAGAGAAGACACACCAAUUGCUUUGGCAGCUCUGGCCCAAUUUGGAAUGGGGCUUCCUGUUGGAGACACGCAGAGGAGAUUCCAAAUAGAACGUCACGACCAGCCUGCCCUGAUGGGCAAGUGCAUGAGGCCCACGCCCAACCCUGAGUGCCAAUGGCGAUGUCAUCUGCAGAUUGUCCAGCAACCUGGUGACCACUCCGUCCACUAGGGACACCAUCACCUGUGCCCCGGCAGGUCUUCUGGAGCCCUUGUUCCUGUCUCAUCGAACAUACAAAUGACCAGUUUACUGACACUUGGAAGUAAAAUGCACGUCCAGAGUCUGAUGGGUCUGGUUUUCAGGGACGUGCUGGUCUUCUCAGCAGGGUCCUAGACAUGGCAGGAACAGUGGGAUAGGCUGAUUCUCCUCUUGUUUCCAAAUACAG
Molecule: long non-coding RNA, 684 nt
Organism: Sciurus carolinensis (gray squirrel)
Lineage: Eukaryota; Metazoa; Chordata; Mammalia; Rodentia; Sciuridae
Exons: 4
Source: RefSeq, a predicted model, not a curated record